RNAcentral lists this long non-coding RNA (924 nucleotides) under Erythranthe guttata (spotted monkey flower). RNAcentral's name for it is "long non-coding RNA (EGUT_LNC003806)". The record is from RNAcentral. Lineage: Eukaryota; Viridiplantae; Streptophyta; Magnoliopsida; Lamiales; Phrymaceae.
CUACUUUCUUGAUGCUAGGAAGACUGUAUAAAUGUUAUGUUUAACUUUUUCUUGUUCUUUUUCUAUCUGUCUUUUCCAGAGAGGUCAACUUGCAGGAACAUAUGCAUUUGGAACUUUUUACUAUUUCACACUACUAAAAUGAGAUUCUAGUGUAAUAUUUGUUAUCAAAUUUUAGUGCUUGUUCAUUACUUCAUUAGACUGUUAUAUUAAGAAUAGAUUGCUUGAAUAAAUAACUAUGUUUUUAUGUUCACGCAGCUGACAGAUCUUCUGGCUUUUCUGUAAGGUACCCUUUUAUAUGCGUUGAAUUAUGAAAUACAAGUCUAAAUGAUAGAAUUUACCUGUGAGCUUUCCAGUUGUCGAGGUGAACUGAUUAGUUAACUAAAUGCAGUGGAAUUGAAAGGGAAUUUUUUUUCUGUGGCAGCUGAGGUUGGUCCAUGGCGCAAAACUGGUUGUCUAGGUAAUGUUCAAUUGCCCCCACCUAUGGUUUUCAGUUGUUUAAAUGACCAAUUAUUGAAGUUUUAUCUUUCUAAUCUUAUGAUUCAUUUAAUUUAAUUUGUAGGCGAAUGGGCACAAAGUGAUGUCUGUCUAUCCACAUUAUGAUGUCUUGGCAUACUUUUGUCUUUGUUGAGGUUUAACUCUUAAUCUCCAAGUCGAAUUUCUUAAUUGCUUUUCUUUCAAGAUUCAAUUAAAAUAAUGAUGAUCUUAUUACAUAUUAAUGUCCGAGAUAAACUGGAGACGGUUAAGUAGAGAAUAAGAUCUCGUCAAUUUGCUGAUAUAUGUAAAUUAUUUUGGGUGUAGCUUUAUUGAAUAAGACCUUUUAAUUUUGCAGGGAAUUAUAAUUUUGCAGAGAAGUAUUAAGUUUUUAUUGAUCAAAUGCAUCCUAUCAAGUUCGAAGUUGGAUAUUUUUAGCACGUGUUUGGAAGA